UGCACAAUAACGAGAGGGAGGUCACAAUGGUACAACAGUGAAAAUUUACAUAAACAGAGCAAAUACUCAGCUAAAACAAAAUGAACUACAAGGUUACUUUCACCAUCUUUGCUCUCUUUGCACUGUACGUACCAUCUACACAAGACCAUGGGGAGAAGAUGGAAAAAGUACGACGUGACAGAUUGACACAGAAAAGCACCAUCUCUUGUCCCUAUACAACUGCUAGGAGCUCACCCUACCCUUUGGUUUGAUUCAUUUCGAGUUGAAAUUCAUUAAAAUCUACAUUUAUGUUCAUCUUGUGGCAUACUUCUCUAAGCAGUUUCUUCAGUUAUACUUAAUGAAACUACAUCUUGUGCAGAGAUAAUGAAAGUAAGAAUAAAAAAAUGAUCCUGAUUGACCUAACCAACCAGAAUCAUAGAAACAUAAUGGUGAGAGAUGAUUGGGUUAGCUGCAUGUGUCACUUGGUAAUCAGCAAUGCAACAUAACCUCAGAUUGAUGUACCUGACUUGCAGCUUGUAGGCAGCAAUUCCUCAGUGUUGAUAUAAUGAGGCAUCCUGCCUCUAACCCCUUCCAGACUGUGGGUUCUGAAUUUUUAUCACUGACUCAAAAGAAUUCUUCUCGUCUCUCCUCAAACCUUGUAAUUGUUAUUUUGAAUCCCUCACUUGUAUGGAUUUAAGAAUCACUUGCUAAAAUAAAUGGAUCUUCCCAUUUAUUCUUUCUUAGUUGUGAAGAGUUACGUACUAAAUAAAUCUUCUCUCAAUCCCCUAUAUUUCAGAGAAAAGAAUCUCGGAAAAUGUUUCCUAACAUUUUCCAGUCACAGCGGCUUCCACGAUAACCUUGUCAGUUCAGUCGCAAAACUUUCUAUUGUGUGGAUCCAGAGCGAUGUUCAGACACCACCUGUGAGCUAACAAGCAUUUUGUGGUUCUGCCCUUGUAUUCUGUACCUCAGUAAUAAAGGUGAUUCAGCCACUGGGCCCUUGGGCUCCCCUACCCCAACCACCACUCUCCAACACUGGGUCUCUCAGGCUCCACUGUCAACUCUUGGGUCCUUGGAGCCUUCAUCUUUACCCACCCCACUUUCUAUGAACACCCUAACCCUCCCCUCUUCUCUGGCACCAACUCUUUUCCCCCCUCUAAUCCUUGUUGUGUCUUCACCAUUCCCACAGAUCUUCCCCCUCUCUGAGGAGGAACGUUCUGUCCUCAGCGAGGGCCUUAUCUUUGUCGUAUUUGCCCGCAUCUCAGUGAAUUUUGUGCCUGCCACAACACCAGGCUUUUCUUCUCUGGUCUCUGUCCCUGAGCCCACAUCUUCGACAAGAAUUCCACACCCUGCACUGAUGACCCCUUCUCCAGUCUUCAACCUUCCUCUUCUUCUUAGACACCCUGGUCUGGUUUUUUGCCAGCUCUGGAUUUUGAAUCACUGAUAAGACAUCAACCACCUUGACUUCAGCACUCCUCUCUUCUCCUCCAACCUUAUCCCCUCUGCACUCUCUCCGCACCAAUCCCAACCUUACCAUCAAACCAGCAAAUGGAGUGCUGUUGUAUUGUGGUGCACUGACCUCUACCUUGCUGAGACCAGACACGGGACCCCACUUCAGACCAUCAGAAAAUUGUAUCUGACACCAUACCUGACCUCUCAUCAGUUCUGGAGAACUCCCAUCCACUGCCAUUAAAUCAUUGACCCCACAUUGCUCACUUUUACAUCCUACCCAAGACCCACAAACCAGACUGUCUGGAUAGGCCCAUUGUCUCUGCCUGCUCCUGUCCCACUAGACUCUUGUCCUCAUUCCUUGAUUCCAUUCUACCCUUCUUGGUUUAUUCCCUUCCCACCUACAUUGGUGACACUUCUCAUGCUCUCGAUCUCCUCACUAACUUUCAGUUCUCUAGCUCUGACUGCUUCAUUUUCACCAUGAAUGUCCAGUAUACACCUCUAUUCCCAACUAAGAAGGCCUUAAGGCUCUCUGCUUCUUUCUUAAUAAAAGAACAAACCAGUUCCCCUCCACCACCAUCCUCUCCUCCUUCAUCUAGCAGAACUGGUCCUCACUGACAGACCUCAGUCCUACUCUCUGUUUCCUUAAACUUUGCCAAACUAUUGAACCCAAACUGUCUUCUCUUAAUGAAUCAAUGCUAGCUGCAUUGUAUUAACCUUUGCCAAUGUAAGCUUUAUAUUUUUGAAGUGUUCAAUAAUUUUAAUACAUAGUCUUAUGGUAAAACAAGAAUGUUUAUUGGUUUUCAAAAGCUAAGUAUUCCUUUAUUCAUUAUUAUUGGAGUAUUAAGAUUGGUUUACCAUUAUGUUCAAAUAGCAGUUCACCAAUGCUGAAUCACAUAAUCUGAUAAUAUUGUAUAUUAUUAUAAUAUAAUAUAUAGCCAAUAAAAUGUUCCCAUUGCUUUGAAUUAUAAUGCAUUUUAAAGGAAGAGUUAAAUAGAGGGAGCAGGGAUGGUUUACCUGCAUUGAUAUCAUUGUAUUCAGAAAAGCAUUAAUGAGUUGAAUUUCACAGCGUGCGGAAAUGUCUGAUCUCAAUUUAAUUCCUGCGGUUCAGAUAGUGAAACAGCUGGCUAGCUGCCAGAUGAAAAUCAUCUUCAUCAAAGGCGGUGUUGCGCAACUGUACAAAAUUGCAGUGGAAGAACCAGCAAGCAGAUGUGAAGAAGUUCAUGAACUUUAAUGUUUGCGCGUACUGGAAAAAUACAACAUAUGAAAAUAAUUAAUUUCUUGCUAGCUCAUCCCAGUGGAACGGUGAACUUAAAUGCUUUUAAAACAAACAAUGUCCCAUCAGAUUCAGGAACCAGUCAUUAUUGUGUUUGUCUAACUAUAUGCAUGAAUUUGUAAAUGAACACCAAUUCAAAUAAAGAUCACCUCAUUAUUACUA
Long non-coding RNA from Hypanus sabinus (Atlantic stingray), 2863 nucleotides. RefSeq lists it as uncharacterized. NCBI's taxonomy places the organism in Eukaryota, Metazoa, Chordata, Chondrichthyes, Myliobatiformes, Dasyatidae. The transcript is spliced from 2 exons. The record is from RefSeq and is a predicted model, not a curated record.